RNAcentral lists this unclassified non-coding RNA (200 nucleotides) under Hevea brasiliensis (rubber tree). Lineage: Eukaryota; Viridiplantae; Streptophyta; Magnoliopsida; Malpighiales; Euphorbiaceae. The record is from RNAcentral.
AGUAAAGAAAAAUAGUACUGAGGGAACUUUCCAGAAGAACCACCAAGUGAUGUCUGUGUGGCAUCCAGAAGAAGAAAUAUUCUCUCUCGUACAGGCAAAUCUGUCUUUUUCUUUACUAUCUUCACAAGAAUAUGCNNNNGCUUGCUGAGCAACCACAUCCUGUCUAGCAGCAGCAAGUUCUCCAUUAAGUGUACUUUUUU